AUGUGAGAAGUCACUCUGGAACCAUCCAAGGGAAACUGGGAGUCUCUGGGCUGGUGUUUAGGAGAGGCAGACUCAAAGGACCGAGGUCGUCGAGGGAGGACAGGAAGUCUCGAGGCCUGCAGCUGCCAGCCCUGGUCUACAUCCUUACCUCUCUGCGGUCCCCUUGCUGCGCAGGAGGCCACCUCGGAUCCUGUGCCAUAUCUGCACGGGGGUGGCAGCACCAGCCACAUGCAGCCCUGUCGUCACAUGCUUUCUCAGAACCCGGUCAGCAGACAUCUGCUCUGGAGGAAAGGCUGAGAAUAUGAGAUGUGGGCGUUUCCUGUCUCUGAGGUGGAGGUGGGUGAGGCAGCAGAGAAGUACAUGUUUGUGUGGCCGUGAGAACCAGACCCUGUGAUGCGUUGCCCAGAGCCUCAUUCAAUGAAGGACCUGCUGCCCCAGCUGUGGAUCCGUGGUUGGCAGGCCAUCUUCAACUGUCAGACCCCUUGGGGACUGACUCAGCUGCAGGGUGGCCUCGCCCUAAGUCAGGCCUUCCCAGGGAGCCCCAGCCAGUGCUGAUCCACAGAGAUGUGGAUAUAUGGGCCCAACCGGGACAAUUUUGCAGGGGCCUUCUAACACCAGAGCUUCCCAUGGUAUUAUGGCCAAAUUGUGCCCCCUUCCUAUUCAUAUGUUGAAGGCUUAACCCCCAGAAUGGACCUAUCAGAAUGUCCAGACAGGUCAUUUAAGAAGACUUCAUGGCAGGUCCUUACCCAGUAUAGCAGAUGUCCUUAUAAAAUGAGGAGAUUAGGACAUAGACACACACAGAAGGAAGACUGUGAUGACCCUAGAGGAAGUCAGCAAUCUACAAGCCAAGGAGAGAGGUCUCAGAAGAAACCAAAUCUGCUGACAUUGGUCUCAGACUUCUAGCCUGCAGAAUUGUGAAGAAGCAAUUUCUGUUGUUUAAGCCACCCGGUCUGUUCUGUUCUGGCAGCCCAGCACACCAGCCCGUGGGGGUUGGCUGAGGCUGUGGGCCUGCGUCCCAGCUUGGCCUCCUCCUCUGUCCUCUCCUGCUUCCU
Long non-coding RNA from Dama dama (fallow deer), 1052 nucleotides. RefSeq lists it as uncharacterized. Lineage: Eukaryota; Metazoa; Chordata; Mammalia; Artiodactyla; Cervidae. The record is from RefSeq and is a predicted model, not a curated record. The transcript has 3 exons.